CCUACGGGAGGCAGCAGUGGGGAAUAUUGGACAAUGGGCGAAAGCCUGAUCCAGCAAUGCCGCGUGAGUGAUGAAGGCCUUAGGGUUGUAAAGCUCUUUUACCCGAGAUGAUAAUGACAGUAUCGGGAGAAUAAGCUCCGGCUAACUCCGUGCCAGCAGCCGCGGUAAUACGGAGGGAGCUAGCGUUGUUCGGAAUUACUGGGCGUAAAGCGCACGUAGGCGGCUUUUUAAGUCAGGGGUGAAAUCCCGGGGCUCAACCCCGGAACUGCCCUUGAAACUGGGAAGCUAGAAUCUUGGAGAGGCGAGUGGAAUUCCGAGUGUAGAGGUGAAAUUCGUAGAUAUUCGGAAGAACACCAGUGGCGAAGGCGACUCGCUGGACAAGUAUUGACGCUGAGGUGCGAAGGCGUGGGGAGCAAACAGGAUUAGAUACCCUGGUAGUCCACGCCGUAAACGAUGAUAACUAGCUGUCCGGGUUCAUGGAACUUGGGUGGCGCAGCUAACGCAUUAAGUUAUCCGCCUGGGGAGUACGGUCGCAAGAUUAAAACUCAAAUGAAAUUGACGG
Molecule: ribosomal RNA, 562 nt
Filed under: uncultured bacterium
Lineage: Bacteria
Description: bacterial SSU rRNA
Rfam family: Bacterial small subunit ribosomal RNA
Source: RNAcentral